Elaeis guineensis (African oil palm) is the source of this 843-nucleotide non-coding RNA. Lineage: Eukaryota; Viridiplantae; Streptophyta; Magnoliopsida; Arecales; Arecaceae. The record is from RefSeq and is a predicted model, not a curated record.
AUGUUCAGCUAUAAUUUCUGUUGGUUGUCCCAUGUAAUUAUGGAUUUACUGGAAAUUGUUAUUUUUGAUGCAUUACAUGCAUGGUUAUUGAAGCUGGAGUCUUGUGCGACUUUAUGCAUAGGAUACCAACCACUGAUGAUGAGGUACAAGUACAGGCUUCACUUGUAAAUAGAAUAUUGGGUCAAGUAGCACCCAGGCCAGCUAUGAAACUAUCCAGACCCAACAACAUGAUCUGUUUUGACAUCACUAUGGGGUGCUGUCAGAAUCCAUUGAUGCCUGUCGGAUAUUUGUGUGUUUCAGUUGCUAGUUGCAGGACUGUAGAUUCCUAUAUGCAUGUGAAAAUAGCUGGUUAUUGGAUGGGACCUGAUAUUGAAGAUGGUUGGGGUUUUGUUGAGGCUGCUGUGGAUCGAAGAAUUUGAUUGUUGAUAGGAGACAUGUCAAAAUGUGCUGUUUUCCCUGAAUAUUUUUCUGCUGCAUCUUAGUUUAAUGCUACUUGCCAAUUAUAAUCAUGAAACCAGUGUUUCCAGUUCAAGAGCAUGAUGAAUGAUAUCUGAAGAUUUCAACAAAAGAACUAGUAUAGCAAAUUGGUUUGAUGGAUAUACACCUGCACCUGGACACAUCUCAGAGGCCCUGAUCAAAGAAAUUGGGGUGAUAAAGAGAGACUUGCAUAGGGGAAAGCGAGCAGAGUACUGAAGCUUACUGCCAUCAGCAUUCGCAUGGUUGAGUUCCACAGGCAAGGUCGACUUAUGUAAGUUUUAUGUGUUUUGGAUGAUGUAAAACUUAUCUUAUGAAAACUGUCAUGGCAGACAUGGGUCAUGCAUCAACAUUUCUGAUGUUUGUCUA